RNAcentral lists this ribosomal RNA (468 nucleotides) under uncultured bacterium. RNAcentral describes it as "partial 16S ribosomal RNA". It matches the Rfam family "Bacterial small subunit ribosomal RNA", at positions 28 to 507 of the family's 1533-position model. The record is from RNAcentral.
GACGAACGCUGGCGGCGUGCUUAACACAUGCAAGUCGAACGGAAAGGCCCUGCUUUUGUGGGGUGCUCGAGUGGCGAACGGGUGAGUAACACGUGAGUAACCUGCCCUUGACUUUGGGAUAACUUCAGGAAACUGGGGCUAAUACCGGAUAGGAGCUCCUGCUGCAUGGUGGGGGUUGGAAAGUUUCGGCGGUUGGGGAUGGACUCGCGGCUUAUCAGCUUGUUGGUGGGGUAGUGGCUUACCAAGGCUUUGACGGGUAGCCGGCCUGAGAGGGUGACCGGCCACAUUGGGACUGAGAUACGGCCCAGACUCCUACGGGAGGCAGAAGUGGGGAAUAUUGCACAAUGGGCGGAAGCCUGAUGCAGCAACGCCGCGUGCGGGAUGACGGCCUUCGGGUUGUAAACCGCUUUCGCCUGUGACGAAGCGUGAGUGACGGUAAUGGGUAAAGAAGCAGCGGCUAACUACGUG